UAAGCUCUUUUGUGAUUCGACACAAUGCUGGCUAAGAAGAAUUCUGCUCUGUUGCCUUGUAUGAGAUGCAUAUGCUGAUGCUUAUCGAAAGAUGCAUUUCCUUUUUUUUUUUGUAGUGCUCUAAACCAUUGCCUACUUGUUGCCUGACUUGGGAACUGUGUAUCACCACUGAAACCAACCCUAAACUUGACCUUUAAAUUAAAUGAACAAGUAGUUAAGUGAUUUACAUUGUCUAUGCAAUCUGAUUCUAUGACUUGAUCAUGUGGCCAGGAUAUGGUUCUUGAUGCUGGUUUCUGAUUUACUUGGUGUUUAUACUAGCUGUCACUUCUUAGUCAAUGUUAUCCACAUGUUGCUUUAUUUUUGGUAUGCCCAUUGGGUUUUUGUCUCGGCUGGGCUAUGUGCUGAGCGUUGGCUUUGAGGGCUGAAAUAGAUUGUAAGAUGUGUCUUUCAAGUUAACUUGUGUGCUUGGUUUGGUCGACUUAAUCAACCUCAACCUUAAACCUGGCUUGUAUUCAAUGUGGGCUGAAUCUGGAGCUUGACUUGUUUCUUAAACCAGAUUUCUAUUUAGUGUUGAGCUUCUAUUUACUGGUUGCACUUGUUGGUCUAGUAGAUAAAAGUGAUUAAUCUUUUGCGAUUCAACACAAUAAAUUUCUGGUGUUGGCUGUUUGAAAUGUAUGUGCUGCUGCUUAUUUAUCUAGCUAGCUAGUUUGUUUAUGGUGCCACGUUGGCAUGUAAACAGCUUUAAAUCCAUCAGCCUGGUAGCGUUUGUGCUCCUGCAAAUUGCUUCAGCAAGUGCUUAUCUGAACCAGUAAUGUUCCUUGUGUUCAUCUCUAGAUAGAGUAUCUCCAGAUUAUUGAGAUUUGAUCUGCUAUGCUACUUUUUUUUUUGGCGGGUGAUGCUACUGUUUUAUUACAGGUUCGUUUUUGGAUCAAGUCGGUGCUUUUGGAGAAUGAGAUGGUUGUGAGGACUAAAAGGAACAAGGGCUUGACAUGCCUCGCUCGCCUACUGUCUAUGCGUCUCAUCGCCUCCGGCUGCUUGGGGGUCCAAGUUCUCGCAGCCGCAGCUGCUGCUGCUGCUUUGGCUGUGGCCUAUAUAAUGUUUUGGUCCUGGUAAUGUCAAGUAGUCGUUGCACAUGGUGGUAGCAUCGUUCUUGUGAUGCUCCAGGUUCAGGGCCCCAUCUUAUUCUAACUUGUAAAGAAAGAAUCUUGCUAUGAUGGAUCGAUGUUGUUGAAUCAGUUCACCAUCGGAAUAUGAACCUGCUCAUCAUAUUAUUGGCAAACGCGUACUCAUCUUGUGGCAAUCCAAUGUGAUUCG
RNAcentral lists this long non-coding RNA (1314 nucleotides) under Triticum aestivum (bread wheat). RNAcentral describes it as "long non-coding RNA (TAES_LNC017436)". The record is from RNAcentral. Lineage: Eukaryota; Viridiplantae; Streptophyta; Magnoliopsida; Poales; Poaceae.